This 503-nucleotide ribosomal RNA is filed under the name uncultured bacterium. RNAcentral's name for it is "bacterial SSU rRNA". It matches the Rfam family "Bacterial small subunit ribosomal RNA", at positions 8 to 526 of the family's 1533-position model. The record is from RNAcentral.
AGAGUUUGAUCCUGGCUCAGAAUGAACGUUGGCGGCGUGGAUUAGGCAUGCAAGUCGAGCGCGAACCCCGCAAGGGGGGAAAGCGGCGAAAGGGACAGUAAUACGUAGAUAUCUGCCCUCGGGUCCGGGAUAGCUGCGGGAAACUGCAGGUAAUACCGGAUAACAUCUCCGGAUCAAAGGUGUGAUUCCGCCUGAGGAUGAGUCUGCGUCCUAUUAGCUAGUUGGUAAGGUAACGGCUUACCAAGGCAAUGAUGGGUAGCGGGUGUGAGAGCACGACCCGCGUCACUGGGAUUGAGACACUGCCCAGACACCUACGGGUGGCUGCAGUCGAGGAUCUUCGGCAAUGGGCGCAAGCCUGACCGAGCGACGCCGCGUGCGGGAUGAAGGCUUUCGGGUUGUAAACCGCUGUCAGAGGGGAUGAAAUGUAGGUGGGUUCUCCCAUCUAUUUGACAUAGCCUCAGAGGAAGUACGGGCUAAGUUCGUGCCAGCAGCCGCGGUAAUUC